Molecule: ribosomal RNA, 407 nt
Filed under: uncultured bacterium
Lineage: Bacteria
Description: partial 16S ribosomal RNA
Rfam family: Bacterial small subunit ribosomal RNA
Source: RNAcentral
GACGAACGCUGGCGGCGUGCCUAAUACAUGCAAGUAGGACGCAGUUGCGAACGGGUGAGUAACGCGUAGGUAACUACCUAUUAGAGGGGGAUAACUAUUGGAAACGAUAGCUAAUACCGCAUACUAGUAGAUGGACCUUCGUUGUAUUAGCUAGUAGGUAGGGUAAUGGCCUACCUAGGCAACGAUACAUAGCCGACCUGGAAGGGGGAUCGGCCCAAAGGGGACUGAGGCACGGCCCAGAAUCAGACGGGAGGCAGCAAGAGGGAAUCUUCGGCAAUGGGGGGAACCCUGACCGAGCACCGCCGCGGGAGUGAAGAAGGUUUUCGGAUCGUAAAGCUCUGUUGUUAAGGAAGCGGUACUUAACCAGAAAGGGACGGCUAACUACGUGCCAGCAGCCGCGGUAAUUC